This 422-nucleotide ribosomal RNA is filed under the name Verrucomicrobiota bacterium. RNAcentral's name for it is "Verrucomicrobia bacterium partial 16S ribosomal RNA". It matches the Rfam family "Bacterial small subunit ribosomal RNA", at positions 355 to 776 of the family's 1533-position model. The record is from RNAcentral. Lineage: Bacteria; Pseudomonadati; Verrucomicrobiota.
UGGGGAAUAUUGCACAAUGGGCGAAAGCCUGAUGCAGCGACGCCGCGUGAGGGAUGGAGGCCUUCGGGUUGUAAACCUCUUUCAGUAAGGGUGAAGGCUCUCUUUUGUGGAGGGUUGACAGUACUUGCAGAAGAAGCGCCGGCUAACUACGUGCCAGCAGCCGCGGUAAUACGUAGGGCGCGAGCGUUGUCCGGAAUUAUUGGGCGUAAAGGGCUUGUAGGUGGCGUGUCGCGUCUGCUGUGAAAUUCCAGGGCUUAACUUUGGGAUUGCAGUGGGUACGGGCAUGCUAGAGUGCAGUAAGGGGGAUUGGAAUUCCUGGUGUAGCGGUGAAAUGCGCAGAUAUCAGGAGGAACACCGAUGGCGAAGGCGGGUCUCUGGGCUGUUACUGACGCUGAGGAGCGAAAGCGUGGGGAGCGAACAGG